UACGGAGGGUGCGAGCGUUGUCCGGAAUCACUGGGCGUAAAGGGCGCGUAGGCGGCCUGAUAAGUAGGGGGUGAAAUCCUGCGGCUUAACCGCAGGGCUGCCUUCUAAACUGUCAGGCUCGAGCACAGUAGAGGCAGGUGGAAUUCCCGGUGUAGCGGUGGAAUGCGUAGAGAUCGGGAAGAACAUCGGUGGCGAAGGCGCUCUACCGGACCACAACUGACACUCAGGGACGAAAGCUAGGGGAGCGAAUGGG
RNAcentral lists this ribosomal RNA (253 nucleotides) under uncultured bacterium. RNAcentral describes it as "partial 16S ribosomal RNA". It matches the Rfam family "Bacterial small subunit ribosomal RNA", at positions 524 to 776 of the family's 1533-position model. The record is from RNAcentral.